CAGGAUGGAUGUGCCCAGCGCGGCCUCCCCACACUCUCCUGGGAACAAUGAGACCCAACAAAGGGUUCUCGGCUCUCCCACGUGGUGAACCUCGUCCUUCGCUCCCUCGGCAAAAAGGCGCCAGGCACGCUGUCGCCAGAGGAAACCCCAUCAGGCUCCUGACCCUACUUCCUUGGGCUCAGACAUCCCCCAUCAAGCCUGGAAACCAUGCAGGCCCAGAAACCCUAGUCCAGAAGUUACCCCCAGGAAACCCACAGCCCCCGAGGCACUCUCUUUCAUAGCACGGGGAUCUGUAUUCAACAGAGACUUGGAGAGCGGAGCUUACAAGUCCCACUGGUUCCCAAAUGUGAUUUUCCUCUGUUUCAUGAAGGAAUGUUGACAAAUCCAGGACACUCAGCAGUUUUGCUCUAUGAGGAAACUUUUGGGCAAAAAGAAAGGAGCCAAGGAACAAUAGCAGUCAUGCUUCCUUCCUCUGCCGCCAAGCCGAGGAGACAGUAGGCCAAGUACUGGGGGCUGACAGCCAGUUGCGGACACGUCCAGGAUUCUUCUGGGAAGGGUGACAUCUCCUACUGCUCCAGCAGAGCAGGGACACAGGCACGCACAGGGAGGGCACGCAAACACAGAAGUCUUCUUUGCAGCACGCGGGACAGAGGUAUCAUGCUGCCAGAGAGGGGCUGGCGUCUGCUAGCUGGUGAAGGUGGGGUCGAGAGAUACUGGAUCUUGCUUAGGAAGCUUUCUCGGGGGAGGCAGGGUAUGGGGUUCUGCAAAGUGACAUCAAGAGGAAAGCUAGGGCAUGGGUGCCUGGGUCGUGCAGUCAGUUGAGCGUCCGACUCUUGGUUUCCACUCAGGUCAUGAUCUCAGGGUGGUGAGAUCGAGCCCCGCGUUAGGCUGUGAGCUCAGUGCGGAGUCUGUCUGGGAGUCGCUCCCCCCACUCCCUCUGCCCCUCCGCUCAUGCUCUCUCUCUUUCUCAUCUCUCUAAAAUA
This 983-nucleotide long non-coding RNA is filed under the name Ursus maritimus (polar bear). Its description in RNAcentral is "lncRNA (ENSUMAG00000002529.1)". The record is from RNAcentral. Lineage: Eukaryota; Metazoa; Chordata; Mammalia; Carnivora; Ursidae.